GUGUAAACUCAUUCCUCGGAAUAAGACACCAUCUCUCUCUCCGCAUAGUACCACCCGACCAAUCAGACCCAUCAGCCCAGGGUCCUGGCCGAUGGUUGCACAGCUUUGCGUCACGUGAUACUCCUUCUGCAAGAAACUUUCCAAUCGCUGUAUGGCAGACCCGUGCUGCCCUUCCUCCUCACCCUCACUUAACAACAGCAGCUGAGUAAGUAUCGCCACCUGCCUGCGAACGCGUGUCUGUGUCAGUGCCUGCGGGUGCUGAGUACCACUGGACCGAGCCAAACUACGAAGUAAGUCUGUCCCUCGUAGGGGAGUGGCAGGCGAAUGAUAUGGCCUGGCAAACACAUAGGUGUUCUGUGGAUCAAUUCCCACACCGGCACGAGUCUGCAAAAGCAUCUCCAUACAGGCUUCAGAGUGUGGUGGGAGGAUGAGUGGCUGUACACGGCCACGUUUCCCUUGGACUCCAACGCGAGGGAGAUGGGGGAGGACCAUCCGCUCGAAGGGUGAGAGCGAGGCCUCCAGUGGGGUAAGAGUUGGUGGGGCACCAGACUGCACAGGAAUGGGGCACUGGGAUGUGACGCGGGCCUGGUACUCGGAGAUGGUGAGCUUGGAGACUUCACAUUCACGCCGGCGAUUGUAAAGGAUGAGUAGGGCCAGACUGGAGUGACAGAGGAGACGCCAUGCCUCGGCCGACUGUGGUGAGCGGGAGAGAGAAAUAAAGGCAGAGUGCUGCAGCCGCCGCAGGUACAACACCAGGGAGGAAAGGGAGGAAAGAAGUGGGAGCAUGUGGAGACGACGCGAACUGAGAAAAGAGAAAAAGGACAACAGGACUAAGUGAAUUUAAAGAGAAUGGAUAAUCAAUUUUAACAGGCAAACUGUUUUUAACAUUGUGAGAUCAAUUGAAAAUGUCUGACCUUGAUAGGUCGGUCUUAUCCUCUGCGCCGCUUUCUUCUUCUCUCCCUCCAUUGUCCUCUCUUUCUUCUUUCGAAGGUUUUGACUCCUUAACAUGAUCUAAAAACACUGGAGUGGGCAAUUCCUCUUCUUUUGUCUUCUCAAAAAUGUCCACCUCCUCUUUAUCCUUUUUCGUUUUUCGUCCUCCUUUUCUGGGAGGAGUACCAGGAAUAGGUGGGCUCCUCUUUAAGACAGACACUGGAACACCUCCUCUUCUGGGCGGAGUUGUCGGUGCUGGGGUAGGACUUUUGCAAAUAGGGCUAGAGAGGGCAGGGCUCCUUCUGACCGGAGACAAAGAAGUAGAGGGUGGUGACUGUGGUGUUCCCACCACCACACCUGGAACAGGAGUCACUUGAAGGCAUUGGGACUGCUUGCUCGAUGAUGGGAGAGGUGACUUUACACAAGGAGGGUCACCAGAGGUGCAUGCUUGUACCAUUGCAGAGCACACGUCCGGCUGGUGAGCGUGGUGUUUAUCCAGAUGGCGUGGGAGAGAUCGGAAGUGACGACCACAGUAAACACAGCGCUGUUUCUGUGCCAUGAUGCUCUGCCCACGACCUACUGACACAUUGACACUAUUAGCAGGAACUCCUGCAGACGGCGGGCACUUAAACACAGGACUGGAGGGAGCAGCAGGCUGCAGUGAGGAGGACAGGAGGGAGUGUGGAAAAGUGGGAGGAUGGCUGGGGGGUCGUUGAAGUGCUUUUCUCUUAGCAUGUGCAGACAGGGCUUUGUGCCUCUUGCGGCGGUGAGGUAUUCGCAUGCGUGUCUCUCCAUUGGCAUCAUCCGAGUCAAGGUCUGAAUCACUGGGCUCAGAGUGAGACAGAGGAGAGGAGGAAGGAGAGAGAGACCAGGAAGGUGUGAGGUAUUCUGAUGCAGAAAGUGGAACUGGGCCAGACUCUUCCUCCUAAG
Molecule: long non-coding RNA, 1860 nt
Organism: Cyprinus carpio carpio
Lineage: Eukaryota; Metazoa; Chordata; Actinopteri; Cypriniformes; Cyprinidae
Source: Ensembl